UACGUAGGGUGCGAGCGUUGUCCGGAAUUAUUGGGCGUAAAGAGCUUGUAGGCGGUCUGUCGCGUCUGCCGUGAAAAUCCGGGGCUCAACCCCGGACUUGCAGUGGGUACGGGCAGACUAGAGUGUGGUAGGGGAGACUGGGAUUCCUGGUGUAGCGGUGAAAUGCGCAGAUAUCAGGAGGAACACCGAUGGCGAAGGCAGGUCUCUGGGCCACUACUGACGCUGAGAAGCGAAAGCAUGGGGAGCGAACAGG
This 253-nucleotide ribosomal RNA is filed under the name uncultured bacterium. RNAcentral's name for it is "partial 16S ribosomal RNA". It matches the Rfam family "Bacterial small subunit ribosomal RNA", at positions 524 to 776 of the family's 1533-position model. The record is from RNAcentral.